AUAUCUCUCUGUACGGGAAGGAUGAGAAGCUUCGACUAAGGUUCGAUUCGAGCGCAGCGAGAAAGCGUUGCCGCAGGCAACGACCCGAAGGGCGAAGCGCGCAGCGCUGAGU
This 112-nucleotide small RNA is filed under the name Salmonella enterica subsp. enterica serovar Muenchen. RNAcentral describes it as "partial RtT sRNA". It matches the Rfam family "RtT RNA", at positions 1 to 111 of the family's 130-position model. Rfam says of the family: This family represents a bacterial cis-regulatory element known as RtT RNA. The exact function of RtT is unknown although it is thought that it may be involved in changing the cellular response in relation to amino acid starvation. The record is from RNAcentral. Lineage: Bacteria; Pseudomonadati; Pseudomonadota; Gammaproteobacteria; Enterobacterales; Enterobacteriaceae. RNAcentral also lists the same sequence under 5 other names.